RNAcentral lists this ribosomal RNA (253 nucleotides) under uncultured bacterium. Its description in RNAcentral is "partial 16S ribosomal RNA". It matches the Rfam family "Bacterial small subunit ribosomal RNA", at positions 524 to 776 of the family's 1533-position model. The record is from RNAcentral.
UACAGAGGUCUCAAGCGUUGUUCGGAUUCAUUGGGCGUAAAGGGUGCGUAGGCGGCGCGGUAAGUCGGGUGUGAAAGCCCUCAGCUCAACUGAGGAAGUGCGCCCGAAACUGCUGAGCUUGAGUACCGGAGAGGAUGGCGGAAUUCCCCAAGUAGAGGUGAAAUUCGUAGAUAUGGGGAGGAACACCGGUGGCGAAGGCGGUUCUCUGGGCAUUACCUGACGCUGAGGAGCGAAAGUGUGGGGAGCGAACAGG